AUAACCAUACUCUAAAUCAUGAGAAAAAUUGAUGACCUGGUUUAUUUUUCUCUUGCCCUCUCUUAAACCAGCAUGUAGCCAAAAUCUAUUGAUUUUCCUAAUGGCCAAAUAGAAGAGAUCUUAGCGAAAUAAAAUAAAUCAUCUAAGAAACACAGAAAGAAUAAUGAAAAACUGCUACAGAAAUCACAGACUGUGCACUUAUUGAGGAGGACUCCGACAUUCAACAUGUGCUAAAUGAAUGUUAGCAAUGUUCACACCAAGCUAAAAUGAAUGAUUAUAGCAUGAUUAUCUGCUGCAUGGGCAAAAGCGGAAUUACCACAUAGGAUCUUCAAUCCAUUUGAGAUAUAGGGAUAUUCCAGAUUUUGUAGCAAGACCACAACCUGUAAACUGAAUCUUGGCUGUUAAUCAAGAUGAUAAUGUUGGAUUGCACUGAAAUAUGCGGAAAAAGCCCACAAAAUUUUUCUUCUAAUUUUAAAUGUUUGGAGCCACAGAAACACAUUUUUUAUCCAUGUGACUUUAUAGUUGUAUAAUCUGUCAAUAUUGGUAAACUAAUUUUACAUUUUAA
Canis lupus familiaris (dog) is the source of this 565-nucleotide long non-coding RNA. RefSeq lists it as uncharacterized. The transcript is spliced from 2 exons. The record is from RefSeq and is a predicted model, not a curated record. Lineage: Eukaryota; Metazoa; Chordata; Mammalia; Carnivora; Canidae.